This 79-nucleotide microRNA precursor is filed under the name Tursiops truncatus (common bottlenose dolphin). RNAcentral describes it as "miRNA (ENSTTRG00000024373.1)". The record is from RNAcentral. Lineage: Eukaryota; Metazoa; Chordata; Mammalia; Artiodactyla; Delphinidae.
GUUGGAGGCAGGGUUGGGAGGGAGGCAGAGACUACACAGGUUGUUUUGUAUCCCACUUCUGACACCAUGUAUUGUCAAC